CUCAGGGUUCCCAGUGGAAGGGACAGAGAGGCCCUGCAUGGCCAGAGGGCCAGUUCCCGCUUUCCCCCUCUGGUACCGUGGGGUCAGAAACAAGCCACCAAGCUUUUGCUCAGAAAAUAUUUAAAAACAGAGUUCUGGCCACCAUGUCACCAACUGCCUCUCGCUCAGAAACAGCCAAACUGGUAGCUGCACGGUAACAGCGAUGGCAGUGGCUGCAGUGCCACAGUCACCCCUCAGUGUCCUCAACCUGGAGCCACCAGUGAGGCCCGCUCCCCACGUGGUGCGUCACACUGCCAGCUGGUGGCAGAGCACAGGGCUUCACUAGGAUGGAGAAGUGGGGAAGUGCUGGGUGCAGGGGAGGGGACACCACUGGGUCACUCACAGGUUGCAGGAGGUCACAUUUCUGAGGCCAGCAUCUCCCCACCCCAGCUGCUGUCUCUAAUGUGCCCAGAGGCUGCUGUGGCCUCCCCUGCCGUGGCCUCCCCCGCCAGGCAUGGCCCUUGCUUUGCAGCUGAGUCGCAGGUUCAAAACAGGCCCCCAGGAGCAGUGUUGAUCCUGCAUCCCGCUGCCUCCCGUGGGCAGGUGGCUGGCAGGGGCGGCCCUGAGCAGCAGGGUGGGGCCCAGGAGCUGCUUGUGCCAGGGCUGCCACCUGCUUCUGACCAGAUGUCCUCCUUGCAGCUGCGCCAUUGGCUCCUGGUGUAAACGGAGCCCACGGAUGACCAGGGCAGUCCUCUUGCCACAGGGAGACAGAGGAGGGAGAUUGACGUUUCCAGAGAAAGAGGGCCACUCCCACCCCUGCCUCUACUGAGAACGCAGCACGAGGCUCCAUCUCUGACUCCUCACCGCUUCACGCCCCACAGAGGGCUCGCCCUGCGUCCUGCGUCCUGCGUCCUGUGAGAACAGCAGAGAUCCUCGUGGUGAGGUUCCAGCCUGUCCCAUCUCUGCACACGGGUCCACGUGGCUGGCUCCUCCCCUGCGGCCACCCUGGAACACGAUCUUGCUGUCACCCAUGCUCUGGGGAGAGGGACCCGGGUGACUGUACAUACACUGUGUGAGGACCCCUGUGCUCACGAUAGCUGCCUGGGUCAUUUAUUUUGCUCAGAUUUUAAAAGCCAAGUGUCCUGUUUUGUCUAAGUGUGCAGAAGGAGAGUCGGGGAGACCGCCCCGAGGCCCCACUCCUUUCCCGUGUGUGGCCAGGCUGGAUGUGAGCGCCCUGCCCUCCUGGCACCCCUCGUCUGUUUUGGCCAUGGACGACUGGGGUCUGGAACGUGGGAUUGGGCACUCUUUUGGCUUCUUGGUCAGCUCAUGGUCACCUCGCUGGGGACUUCCAGGCCAUGGGAGGAGGGCUGCUCCUUGUAAGCCACAUGCCGAAGCUCGAGGGCCCCUGGCACGUGGGAGCCACUAGGCAGCCUGCAGACACCCCGCAUGUCCUGGAGCUGGCCCUUGGGGAAGAACCAACAGGGUGUCGUUUCUCUCAGGCACCAUCACAUCUGUGGACACUUUUCCUGUUAGGGAGUGGCUUUUUAAAAUCACAUUUACCUUCGAAUCCAGACUAUUCUCACGGCCUAAGGUCAGUCUCUGCAUGUCUGUAUGCUGGUGGCUGGUUUUGUUGACAAAAGCUAUCAGCAAUACCAAGUGAAGAAGGCCACCCAGGGCCACCUCCACGGCACACUGGCUGCUGCCCCUGGAGGGAAGGGCACGUGUCCCCAGGUCACCUGGAGCUUCUGGAUGUGGCCUGCAGAGAGGUCGCACCCUGUGCCGUCCAGCAGGCGCAGGCUGCAUACAGAGCCCUCUGGGCCUCCCACAGGUGGACGUGGGCACCAGGGACUGGACCCUGACACUGGGGAAACUCGAGCCAUGUCCCUUGAGCCCUGCAGUCACGGCCAAGGCCCGUGCCUCCUCCUUGCCGAGGUGUGGCUCUGUAGAAGCAGGUGUCCUCAGCAUGCUAGCGUCUCCGCCGUCAGUGUCUGUGUGGUCCUCACGCACAAUAAAUGAAACCUGUCCAGAAAAU
This 2011-nucleotide long non-coding RNA is filed under the name Marmota monax (woodchuck). The record is from RNAcentral. Lineage: Eukaryota; Metazoa; Chordata; Mammalia; Rodentia; Sciuridae.